UUUACUUGACGCUAACAAAACACAACAAUUUUAUUUAUAAACGAUAAAAAAAAAUUAUUACAAUGCAAACGAUGAGAAAUAUGAAUUUGGUUUACAUGUUUGUUUAUGCUUUCAUCAUCUUUCUUUCUAUACAUUUUCCUCCAAGAAUUAAAUGCAACACUGAAGCUGAUUGUCCACAACGAUUUGAUAACAUCGUUGAAUGUCUUUUUGGUAUUUGUCACUUUUAUAUAAAAUAAUGUUAAAAAAGUAAUGUUACCUAUAAGUAUAUUAAUCCAGUUCAAAAAUAAUUAUGUUACCUCUAUAAGUAUAUAGUUUUAUUUGUAUGUAAUAAUGUUCAUAAUAAUGUUUCUACUUUUAUAAUUUACUUAAAAUUUGUUUAUAUUCUAUGAAUGAAACAUGUUGUUGUUGUUGUAAUAAUAUUUUUUUUGCGAUAA
This is a long non-coding RNA of Medicago truncatula (barrel medic), 434 nucleotides long. RefSeq lists it as uncharacterized. The record is from RefSeq and is a predicted model, not a curated record. Lineage: Eukaryota; Viridiplantae; Streptophyta; Magnoliopsida; Fabales; Fabaceae. The transcript is spliced from 2 exons.